This 1764-nucleotide ribosomal RNA is filed under the name Triticum aestivum (bread wheat). Its description in RNAcentral is "partial small subunit ribosomal RNA". Lineage: Eukaryota; Viridiplantae; Streptophyta; Magnoliopsida; Poales; Poaceae. The record is from RNAcentral.
AUUUGAGGCUGCAUUUGCAUAGUCAGGCUGAGCCGUGAAGGCUAUGCAAUGCAGCUACCAUAGACUACUGCAGCCCGUACUGUUCUCGAAGUCCGACCCAGACUUCGGCGUCGCAUCCAUGGCGAUCUUUGCUGGCCUUCUCACCUUCGUCUCCACCCUCCUCGCCCUCGCCCUCCGGCGCCUCCUGCGCCUCUUGCGCCGCCGCGCGCCCGACCCAGCGGCCGCGGCGGGGUUCUUCCACCCGUACACCAACGACGGCGGUGGCGGGGAGCGCGUGCUCUGGUGCGCCGUGCGCGCCGUCCAGGACCUUUGCCCCGACCUCCCCUGCGCCGUCUUCACCGGCGACGCGGACGCGUCCCCCGAUGGGCUCGCCGCCCGCGCGCUCGAUCGCUUCGGGGUCCGCCUCCUCCGCCCGCCGCAGGUUGUUCAUUUGAACAAGAGAAAGUGGAUCGAAGCAAGCACAUAUCCGCGCUUCACAAUGAUAGGGCAAAGUCUUGGCUCAGUAUAUCUCGCAUGGGAGGCUCUUAACAAAUUCACUCCGCAGUUCUACUUUGAUACAAGUGGCUAUGCUUUCACUUAUCCACUGGCUUGGCUGUUUGGUUGCAAGGUCCUCUCCUACACUCAUUAUCCCACGAUCAGUUCUGAUAUGGUCGAACGUGUUAAGCAGCGCAACUCAAUGUACAAUAACAACUCUCUUAUCUCUGGAAGCAUUUGGUUGUCUCGAUGUAAAGUUCUGUACUACACCAUAUUCAGUUGGUUGUAUGGUUUAGUUGGUUCCUGUGCACAUCUUGUGAUGGUGAAUUCCUCAUGGACAAGAUCCCAUAUUGUGAAUAUUUGGGAAGUCCCAGAGCGUAUGAAGCGGGUAUACCCUCCAUGUGAUACUUCUGCCCUGCAGAUGCUCCCCCUGGAAAGAUCAACAACACCUCCUAUUUUUAUAUCAGUUGCACAGUUCCGUCCUGAGAAGGCCCAUGGUCUUCAGUUGGAGGCAUUUGCACUUGCUCUUGAAAGGCUAGAUUCAGACUGUCUCAAGCCAAAACUUCAAUUUGCUGGCAGUUGCCGGAAUAAAGAGGAUCUGGAAAGAUUACAAAAGCUCAAGGACAGAUCUGUGGAGCUUCACAUAGAUGAGCUUGUAGAGUUCCACCAGGAUAUCUCUUACAGAGACCUGGUACAGCUUCUAGGUGGUGCAAUUUGUGGGCUCCAUUCAAUGACAGAUGAGCAUUUUGGAAUAAGUGUCGUUGAGUACAUGGCUGCUGGUGCUAUUCCAAUUGCCCAUAAAUCUGCAGGACCAAUGAUGGAUAUUGUGCUAGAGGAGGACAGCCGCCAGACAGGGUUUCUGGCCUCCAGGAAGGAAGAAUUUGCGGAGGCAAUCCUCAAGGUCUUGAGGAUGCCGGAGCCAGAGAGGCGAGAAAUGGCGGCAGCAGCACGGAAGCGUGCUCAAAGGUUUUCAGAGCAGAAGUUUCACGAAGAUUUCACAAACGCGGUUCGCCCAGUUUUAUUAGGACGCUCAUGACGCUUGCUAUAAUAGCCCAAAAACAUUAACAUGUUCUGCAUGAUGGAGAUUCAGAGGUUUGAGUGCAUCUGCAAAGUUCUAGCUUGAGCUUUUCCAGAUUAUCAGUGUUAGUUUUGUGUAUCACACACACUGUUGUAUAGAGAAGAAGAAAAGAAUGAUAUGAUAAACUCUUGACUGUUUCUUUGGCACUAUACUAGUACUGCACAUUUUGGCCCCAAUAUCUGAACUUGAGAAAUUCAACUCCAUGCAUGAAC